Molecule: RNA transcript, 5578 nt
Organism: Oryzias latipes (Japanese medaka)
Lineage: Eukaryota; Metazoa; Chordata; Actinopteri; Beloniformes; Adrianichthyidae
Gene: gra
Gene name: granulito
Source: RefSeq, a predicted model, not a curated record
UUAGUGGUAUUGUUGUUUUAAAGAGAUUGGCGGUUUCGGUCUCUUUCUUGUCAUGUCAGAUAAGCUAACACAGCUGCAACGCGCACAUUCGGCUACAUUUUCCCCAAUGUAUUUCACAUUUACAGCUAUAGUAGAUAACUGGCGCGUGUUAACCGAUUAGUGGAAAACAUUGAAGUGGUUGUUUAAGCAAACAUGGCUUGCUUCGGUUAAUCUUGCCUUAAUAUGUGACGCACUCAUUGGAAACGCAACCGAAAGUGAAUAUUUCUACGGACGUUUGGGUGGUUUUUAUAUCCAUGCAGAUUUGCAUAUCCGACUGUCAAUCUUCACGGAAAAUAGGUUUGGUUGGUGUUUCGGGAAGAUUGUGGAGCUAUAGUAGCAAGCAGCUUAAUAUUAAGCAUGUGCAGCAGAACCAAGUCCUUAGAGUUUUGUUUUUAGAACACGUCCAACACACAGGGAUUCCUUUUCAUGGCGGUGGGGUCCUGGAAUUUGUAGUGGACCCCCACCCCAUCUGUCUCAAUAACAACAUGUAUCCUGGCGAUGUUAGGGGAUGGGACACUCUGGAAACCCUGGUGGAGGAUCUCAACAAUGCACAGGAGAAACCCCUCAACCUUUUUUUUUUUUUUUUUUUUAUAACUAAGCAUGGUAUUUGGAUUAGACCUGAUAUAUUUGGAAGGCCAAAUCUGCAAACAGUUUCAUUUGCAGCAAGGAGUCCUCAACUUGCAUUAAAGGAAUCCGUGUGAACACAGAAGUUAAACUAUUUUGGUUUUUUAUUUUCUUUUAGUUUAUUCAAAGGAUUCUUAAAAUUAAAUGUAUUCUGUUAUUCAUUUAGUCAAUUUCAAAUAAUCAGAUUUUAAAAUAGGGGGACAAGGGUGGCCAGUGUUUUCUUCAGAGAGAAUUCACUUAGAUGAGCUCUUUGUCUGACAGUAUUGACAGUAUUGAGACAAUUUUAAGGAAAGUGGCAGUAUAUAAAAGAAAAGGAAGGCAAAUAUUAUUGUUCAUAUGUUCCAUAUAGGUUUGAAUAUUGCAAAGGAGCAUGCAAUGAGAUAAGACAGAAAACCUAACAUUUCUGAAGUGGUGUCAAAUAUGAUUGGAAAGAAAUCCUAUUGGAGGGAUAACUUAUAAACUAGACUAAGAUUUUUAGCCUAGUGUUUUUAUAGGUCUGAAUUUGUAUUGCUUGUGGUUUUUUGUCCAUAAUGUAUAGGGUGUCCUAAAAAGGUUCAAUUUCACUUGUUUAGUAAUUGUGAUUGCUGUGAUACGUGGGUCUCACCCUGAGUGUUUUGAGUUGUUGCUUUGGCUGUAUCCUACCUGGCUCCUACAAAGCAAGUGUUUGGAAGCAGUUAAACAGUGUUUGUGUGGGUGUCAACAGUGUAAACAACCAACAGGCUUUGUUUUUCCAGGAUUUCAAAUGAACAAAGAUUGUUACUGUUGUCGUGAUGCAGCAUAAGCUGUCGAGUGCAUGCUGUAUUCUUAAAGGUUUUCUUGGGUUUUAAAGAGGCAUUUUUGGGAGUUGCAGUUCAACCCUGACGUUCUCAUUUUGCUGACUUGUGUAUUUCCACGGUUGCUCCAUGUGGUCUUGAUUACAGCUAAAUUGGUAUUUAUUGGUAUCUAUCGCUUUUGAGGUUUAAUGGCGUUUUGGAAUGUUGGGGAAUUGAUGCAGAGCUCACGGUACUCUUUGGGAAAUAAUGUUGUUCUGUACCCUUUUGUCUACAGGUCCGGGUUGUUUGUGCCUCAGCAUGGCAGUCGUCAUCCGUUUACAGGGGCUGAAAGUCACCGCAGGUUCUGAGGAUAUUCGAAAAUUCUUCACUGGGCUCAAAAUUCCAGAUGGAGGGGUGCAUAUUAUUGGUGGAGAUCACGAGGAAGCAUUCAUAAUUUUUGCUUCAGAUGAAGAUGCAAGAAGAGCCAUGACACGUUCAGGAGGUCAAAUUAAGGGUUCGCCAGUUACAUUGUUACUAAGUAGUAAAACAGAGAUGCAGAACGUGCUUGAAAGAACAACGCAAAUCGUUGAGCUGGAUCAGAAGAAGCAAGUUGGGAGAUCGGUUGAUCCUAAAGUGGAUCGGAGGUCAAGUGGUCGCACAGAAACUACUCAUCCCAUUUACGUCAAAAGAGAUAUGGACACAGAAAGAUAUUUUGUGGUGUUUCUAAACGGACUGCCAUUCUCUGUGACUGAAAACCAAAUCUGCGAGUUUUUCAAGGGUUUAGAAACAAAUGAGAUUGUGUUGCUGAAGAACCACAGAGGGCAAAACAAUGGAAAAGCCUUUGUCAGGUUCGUAACAAGGGAAGACGCAAUGGAAGCCUUGAAAAAGAAUAUGGAAUACAUCGGGACAAGGUAUGUGGAGGUUUGCACAACAACGAUCAACGAAUGGUAUCGUGCAACUGGUAGAAUGCCGAUGGGUCUCAACGUGGACGACAAUUUUGAAAGGGGGAGAAUGCCUGAUCACAGGCAAAGAAUUUCACCACAUACACGCUCGCGAUCACCCAUGAUGCAACGGCAUGCUCCUGCUUCGGAAGAAGAGUACUGCGUUUUGUUGGACAAUCUGUCCUACGGCAUGGAAAAAGAAGAUAUAAAACAAAUGUUUCGUGGUGUCAAACUCGACAAUGACCAGAUCUUGCACUUAACUGACCCUGCGGGGAAAAGAACAAGAUCUGCAUUUGUGCUGUUCAAGAGUUUCCAUGACUACAACAGGGCCAUAAGCAAUGAGAAAAAGCUGUUAUACAACCGAUGGGUGAACAUCCGUCCCAUCUCCAGGGAGAACAUGUUGGCUCUUCUGCAGUCCCAGAACACUGCUAUAGGACCUCCUGAAAACAACCAGAGCUAUCAAGAGAGACCUCCAUCCCACCCCAGGGAUCCCUAUGAGUCUGAAAAAGCCUGCGUGUAUGUGAAAAACCUUCCAUUUGAUGUCAGAAAAGUCGAAAUAAUGGACUUCUUUCAUGGGUUUAAUGUCUCAGAGAGCAGAGUGUCUGUGCUUCAAGACCAUAAAGGUGCUGGUGUUGGACAGGCUUUGGUCCUUUUUGGGUCUGAGGCAGAAGCCAUGGAAGUGCUCUGUCUUAAUGGUCGUCGGCUUCUUGGGUCAGAAGUCAUCCUGAAGUGUAUUUCCCGUUUUCAAAUGAAGCAGCUGACAGCUGAACCGCUCAUGCUGCAAGAACCAUUACCAAGGGAGGAGUGGUACCCGAGCAGGCGCAGCAGGAGCAGUGAGGCAUCUUUUCGCCCGGAUAACACUAUGAACCCGGACAUUAGGAAUCCAAGGGAUGGCAUUUUACCUCAAGGGAAUGUGCAGAGCCACAUUCACAGAGGCACUGAUUACGAACCACCUGCUGUGAAGCCUCGCCCUCCUCGAGACUGGGGUAAUGGAGACCAUGGUAGUUUUGGCUCCCCUGUGCAGCACUUUGACGGUCCCACGUGUGUGCAGUUGGUCAACUUGCCCUUCCAGAUCAAGAGUGAAGAAAUCUAUGACUUCUGUUAUGGAUACCAUAUCAUACCUGGAUCUGUCUCACUUCAGUAUGACCAGAGUGGAAAUCCAAAAGGCUCUGCCACUUUGGUGUUUGAGUCUCGCCAGGAAGCCUUAACUGCGCUUCGGGAAUUAAAUGGACGACCAAUUGGACCAAGAAAAAUUGAGCUAAUACUUCUUUAGGACAAUAUAGUUUUUUAGGGAAGUGUGCCUGAGGUAAUUCUUGUUGCUUAACUUUAAAAAACAAACGACUACAACCCACAUCUUUAAGACUUUUUAUUUCUAGUGGGGAAUUCUAUUGAUUUAAUUUUAGUUGAUACUAUGUAGUGCUUAAGUAAAUGUUUCCCGAUUUUGUACUAUUUUCCUUCCCAUCUAUUUAGGAAUUUCAGUGCAUUUUGAGAUUUUGUGGGUGAUGUUCCUGAAAAACAAUGUUUUUUUUUUUAAUAAAAAAAAUCUUCAAACCGUCUCUUAAUUUACCUGUGAUACUAUUUAAGUAGUAUCUGAGGAGUCAGAAAUUCAAGUGAAAUGGGUAUAGAAAAUAGAAACUGUAGAAGCACGUUUUAAAAAAAAGAUGAGGCAAAAGUGUUUUACAGAGGAAUAUUUAAUAUGGGGUUGAUUAAAACAUUUUUUGAAUGUACACUAAACCAUGGCAGGAUACAAGAAAGUUGCUCAAAUUUAUGGACUCAUGUUCUCGCUCAAGUGUCUACUUGUAAGCAGUUUUUACAAUUAUACAUUCAUAAAAACAAAUUGAAACCAAAGGUUUUACAAAAGAACUUUACUUUCUUUAGGAAGUGAUCAAUCUAUUGUAAAUGGCCAAAUUUUUAAAUUUUAACGUUUUUAUAUUUCACUUCUAAAUUUUAAACUGUUUGCCAGUGUUUUCUCACCCUUGGCAGAGAUGCUUAUUUAAUUAUAUUAUUGCAUGAGUCGGGGUUGGUGAUUUUGCAUUCUUUGUUUUUUUUUACAGUACCUUAAACUGUUUUCUUUACAUAAAAUUAAUUUGAAAUUAUAAUUAUACUUUACGUGGUUUGUGUUUUUUAAUCCUAAAAAAUAAACUUGUAUUUCCCAAAGCAAUUUAGCAGCUCAUUAAAUAAGUUACACUAUAUAUUUCUUCAACCAGGUGUGUUUAAAGGGAGACAUUGUAGGCUUGAGAUCAACCUUAAAAGAACGUGUUUAAUGAUUGAAUAGUAAAAACAUUUGUUUCGUUGUUAAACUAAUAAUUACGAAAACUUUGCAGGGGUGGAAUAAAAUAAACGUUAUAGUUGGCAAGUCUGAUCACAUAAAAAAAGCCAGGUUGAUUUUAUUGUGAAAGUUUAAACAGGAAGUGAAGGACUACAUGACGCCGCUGAGGUGAGCAGACACAAGCACGCAGAGAGUUUGAUGUGAAGAAUGGAGGUAGCAAGGCGAAGGAUGAUUCAGAAACACUUGCAACCAACGAGACCCCUGCGUCGCUGCACUUACGUUGAUUAUGGUAACGUUAAUUGUGACCUGCAAAUAACAGCAGGUGCAUGUGGCCAGGGACAGUUUAUGCAAGAGAUAAAAGCUGAUAUAGAGCAUUUUCACAACAACGUCAGUCUGCAUGAACAGAAAAAAGCUAAAAUUUCUUACUCAAGGGAGUUUUUAAUGGGCCUGGCCAGCUGCCCAGAGGCAAAGAUUAAACCACUAUUCUUGCCUGACAAUCCCAUAAUACUCUCUGAAGCAAGAGAUCCAGGACGACUCGAGCUUGGUGAGAUCCAAGGGAGAGGUGAUCAAGUGUACAUGUGAGGUUGACCAAAUGGUGAUCUAAGGACUCUCCUGGAGAAUGUUUUAUGGGUCAUAUUGUCAUUUAUGUUUGUGUGUUGGGUGAUAUUUUUCUUUUCUUUUUCAAAUAUUUAAAUUUGCAUGCUGUUCAAGUAUUUAAUAUAAAUCUUUUGUUUACUUGUAUUUCCUUUCUGUCUUAAAAACGUGUGUAUAUUGUUUAAAAGUUUCAUUCUAGACAGGAAGUGCCUAUAGUAAUAAUUAUUUGACUUAAGAAGUUUAAAGUGAAAUGCAUUGGUGUUAUAGAUUACUGAAAAAAAGCUAAGUUUACUCCUUAUAAAACGAAUUAUUUGUAUGCACACCAAUUAAAAAAAUAAAAAUAAAAACUUUGUUUGAAA